Cynocephalus volans (Philippine flying lemur) is the source of this 1402-nucleotide long non-coding RNA. RefSeq lists it as uncharacterized. The record is from RefSeq and is a predicted model, not a curated record. Lineage: Eukaryota; Metazoa; Chordata; Mammalia; Dermoptera; Cynocephalidae. The transcript has 3 exons.
GUUUCUUCUUCCCGCCAUCAGAGAGGCCCCGAGACUCGCGGCACCCUGCACCUCAGUAUGUCCCUGAACAGUUUGGCCAGUGACUUUACAAUGAAGGAAACUGAGGCCAAAUGGGGAAGGGACUUGCCCGGAGUCACACGGAGUGGAAGGGCUGGGAUUUGAACCUGACCUGGCAGGUGUCGGUGCUCCCGAGCCUCCGUUUGCUCAUUCUGAGUUGCGUGUGUUGCUUGGAGGCCUGUGGGAAAUCUUGCACGUUUGAGUGAGGGGGUUGUUUAUCCCUCGUUCCGGCAGCAGAGGGAGGCCUGGCUCCUUGCACUGUGAGCAUCUCAGGGUCCUCGGAGCUGAUGACAGACUGCCGCUCCAGGCCUGCUCGCACACCUUUCUCCGGUCCCUGCCUCCUCUGAUCGUCCACAGCCUGGUACAUCGCCUUCUUUCCUCUACGUUGCCUUCAGUCUGGUAAACUCACUGAGCAGUGGAAUCUGGAAACUCCGGUUGACAUUCCAGGAGCCCUUGUAGGAGGAUGGCACCGCUUUCCCAAUAAUCACAGAAAACACCCUGAGGCUGAUUCUCAUUGGCCUGCUGUGCAAAGGAGGCAGACUCAGCCCCUCAUGAUGGCCCAGGCUGAAACUGGGGGCGGGUAGGAUACCCCAGAGUACAAGCAGGAUUCUGUGAUCAGAAGAGAUGGUGGAUACAGAAGAAAGAGCCACAGAGGGAGGCAUUGUCCCAUUUUACAGAUGAGGAAACUGAGGCAUGCAGAGGUGAAAUGACUUGUAACCUGAAGGAGGGUCGCUCGAUGCCUGUUUGUGGGAUGAAAGCGUGAACACGUGCCAUGUACUCUGCCAGCCUGCCAGCCCUGUGGAGCUGCUCACCUCUCCGCCUCCCGCUGACCACCUGCAGACACCACCCCACCCUCCGGCCCCCGUCGUCCCACUGCGGUCCUGCCAUGCUGGGCACGUGCAGCUUCCUGCAGACGUGGGGUUGUUCGGAGGGACAGAACUUUGCCCAGACCUCCUGGAUUCCCUGUAGGAUUCUUAUCUUACCCUUGGGGGAAAAUGAAGUCUUUUUUUGUUUGUUUCUGUUGACGCGGGAGUCACAUAAUAUACAAUUAACCAUUUUAAACUGUACAGUUCAGUAGCAUUUAGUGCAUUCACAACGCUGUGUGAUGACCAUCUCUAUGUAGUUCCAGCACAUUUCCAGCACCUCAAAAAGAAACCCUGGGGGCAGAGGGAGCCUGGGCAAAGCUUGGUAGACUGGUACAAAGUUACAAAGAUACAGUUAGGUAGGAAGGAUAAGUUCCGGUGCUCUAGAGUGACAGUUGCUAAUCAUAUUGUACAUUUCAAGAUGGGCAGUCUUUUUUGGGCUGGCUGGUUAGCUCAGUAGGUUGGAGCGCAGCCUUAUAACA